CUAUGGGGCGCAGCAGGCGAGAAAACUUUGCAAUGUGCGAAAGCACGACAAGGUUAAUCCGAGUGGUUUCUGCUAAAGGAACCUUUUGUUAGUCCUAGAAACACUAACGAAUAAGGGGUGGGCAAGUUCUGGUGUCAGCCGCCGCGGUAAAACCAGCACCUCAAGUGGUCAGGAUGAUUAUUGGGCCUAAAGCAUCCGUAGCCGGCUCUGUAAGUUUUCGGUUAAAUCUGUACGCUCAACGUACAGGCUGCCGGGAAUACUGCAGAGCUAGGGAGUGGGAGAGGUAGACGGUACUCGGUAGGAAGGGGUAAAAUCCUUUGAUCAAUUGAUGACCACCUGUGGCGAAGGCGGUCUACCAGAACACGUCCGACGGUGAGGGAUGAAAGCUGGGGGAGCAAACCGGAUUAGAUACCCGGGUAGUCCCAGCUGUAAACUAUGCAAACUCAGUGAUGCAUUGGCUUGUGGCCAAUGCAGUGCUGCAGGGAAGCCGUUAAGUUUGCCGCCUGGGAAGUACGUACGCAAGUAUGAAACUUAAAGGAAUUGGCGGGGGAGCACCACAAGGGGUGAAGCCUGCGGUUCAAUUGGAGUCAACGCCAGAAAUCUUACCCGGAGAGACAGCAGAAUGAAGGUCAAGCUGAAGACUUUACCAGACAAGCUGAGAGGUGGUGCAUGGCCGUCGCCAGCUCGUGCCGUGAGAUGUCCUGUUAAGUCAGGUAACGAGCGAGAUCCCUGCCUCUAGUUGCCACCAUUACUCUCAGGAGUAGUGGGGCGAAUUAGCGGGACCGCCGCAGUUAAUGCGGAGGAAGGAAGGGGCCACGGCAGGUCAGUAUGCCCCGAAACUCUGGGGCCACACGCGGGCUGCAAUGGUAAUGACAAUGGGUUCCAAAUCCGAAAGGAGGAGGUAAUCCUCAAACAUUACCACAGUUAUGACUGAGGGCUGCAACUCGCCCUCACGAAUAUGGAAUCCCUAGUAACUGCGUGUCAUUAUCGCGCGGUGAAUACGUCCCUGCUCCUUGCACACACCGCCCGUCGUUUCAUUGAAGUGAGCUUUUAGCGAGGUGACGUCUGAUUGG
RNAcentral lists this ribosomal RNA (1073 nucleotides) under uncultured archaeon. Its description in RNAcentral is "bacterial SSU rRNA". It matches the Rfam family "Archaeal small subunit ribosomal RNA", at positions 323 to 1396 of the family's 1478-position model. The record is from RNAcentral.